This 289-nucleotide long non-coding RNA is filed under the name Oryza brachyantha (malo sina). Its description in RNAcentral is "long non-coding RNA (OBRA_LNC001944)". The record is from RNAcentral. Lineage: Eukaryota; Viridiplantae; Streptophyta; Magnoliopsida; Poales; Poaceae.
CUGUUUGGUUCUCUUUUUUGUCGGCCUAGGUGCUUUAUCGGUUCUGUUUAUAUUUGGUUAGUUGUGUUUUUAUGUUUGGUUAUGUCUUUCGGUUUAACUUGUCGACAAUGUAUCGGUUGGCUGAUUUUACGGACGAGAAAACGUGUACGGUACUAUAAUUUAAAAGCAUUGUUUUUACGUAGAAAAAACAAAUAGGUUGUGCAUAGUUGAAAGAGGGAGACAAAUCGAGUCUCAAGUAAGAGGGAAGAGGCUUACGAUGAAAGAAAAAAUUCUUUCAAAAGAAUUAAUA